RNAcentral lists this ribosomal RNA (591 nucleotides) under Triticum aestivum (bread wheat). Its description in RNAcentral is "partial small subunit ribosomal RNA". Lineage: Eukaryota; Viridiplantae; Streptophyta; Magnoliopsida; Poales; Poaceae. The record is from RNAcentral.
AUGCCUGCCAUCGGAUCAAGGGGAGGUGCUGCAAUUUUAUGGAACAAGGAGCUAGUUUCAUUAGCUUCACAUGCAGUAGGACAGUUUGCUAUCACAGCUAAACUGACGAUCCUCCGAUUAGCCACAUCAUUCUGGCUGACGACGGUAUACGGUCCAGUAGACGACGCUCGCAAGGAUGAUUUCCUCCUAGAGGUGGUGGAUGCUGCUCCUCCUUUAGCCGAACCAUGGUUGAUAAAUGGAGACUUCAACAUAAUCUACGAAGCACGAGACAAGAACAACCUGAACAUUAAUAGGAGGCUUAUGGGUAGGUUUAGAGCGACCAUAGACGCGGUUGGGCUGUGGGAGAUCGAGUGGAAGAACCGUAGGUUUACAUGGAGUAAUGAAAGAGAAAAUCCCACCUUAGUGAGCAUUGACAAAUUCUUCUGCAGCCAAAGUUGUGAAUCCCUCUUCCCAAAAUAUGCCCUCAUGGCGGCUUCGACGGCAUGCUCCGACCACUGCCCACUUUUCCUCACAAGCAUGAAGAGCCCAUUCAGGAAGGCGACGUUCAAUUUGAGUCCUUUUGGAAAAAAUUCCCACACUUCCAUGAGAUGA